This is a long non-coding RNA of Stegodyphus dumicola, 1273 nucleotides long. RefSeq lists it as uncharacterized. NCBI's taxonomy places the organism in Eukaryota, Metazoa, Arthropoda, Arachnida, Araneae, Eresidae. The record is from RefSeq and is a predicted model, not a curated record.
UUUCAGGAAUAUGCUUUCCAUGUUCCUGAAACCCAACCUAAUCUAAUUCAUUUAUCUAAAUUUGCAAUUCCUUAUGUUUAGUACUAAAAUAUACUUUAAACGUAAUUUUAUUUGUAUUGAAAUAGGGUAUUUUGGAUUUUGUUCAGCUUUGAAACGGCCCAGGUUUUUAUGUUCUUGCUUUUAUUCUCCGUCAUUUUAUCAUUACCAUCUUCAUCAUUUUUAGCUUACCAACCCAUGAACUAUUAAAUACCAAUCGCCGAGCUUCUAAAACAUCAUAGAAGAUUAGUUUUACUGCUGGCCAGGCUCCAAAAGGUUUCACAACUUUGUUCACACGUGCGUUUGGAAAUUUUCCUAGGUGCAACAUAAAUAUCAGCUGGCUUCUCUUAGUACAUGCACUGUCUGUGAUGUAAUUGGAAGAGAAGAAACUUUUCAUUAAAGCGAGAAAUUUGCAAGAAUGGGUAUUAAACUGAAAUCCACGCAGCAAAUACAGGACAAUUUCUGGAAUGUGGUAUCCUGCACUAUUUAAAAUGAGCUGCAGUUGGGAGAGAACUCACAUUUUUCUUCUGAUUUGAUUGCCUUCUUCCUUUGCGUCACCCUCAUGGAGAGCUUUGCCUCGGAAUAGAAAAAGAAUAAGAUGAUAUUAAGGUAAAUUCAACGAAUUGGAUAGCAACUGAUGGUAAGUGAAUGGUGAAGUUUUUUGGGGAAUGAACUCCCUUUUAGAAGCGGAGCUUCCUUCCUUUCCUGCUAAUUCUUCGCUGACAACGGGAAACUUUCUACCAACAAAGGAUGACUUCCUUCGAGUCUUCACCUCUGCACCAUCCCGACUCAGAAACCUUCCGGACAAUCUCAGCUAUACUACCAUCUAACCAUUCCAGGCUCUCUUUCCGUGAGUCUCUAAAAGAUUUAUACCUGCAACUAGUCUCGUUACUUUGAUCUGAGAAAUUAUGUGAGGUCUUGUGUACCGUUACUUUGAAAUGAUGACUCCAUUUUCCGAUUCUGAAACCGACCGGACUGUCUCAUCCUUUUCACUUCUAGUGAGAUGAAUUCUUCAGUUAGAUAAGAAAUACCUUCUUUAUUUGUGGGAAGAAAUUUUGUUAUUGUUGGUUUAAGCACUCACUGCCUCUGAUUAUUUUAAUUUCUUUUGACCAUAUUAUGCUACUUUAAGAAAGACUAAAGGUUAAUAUGUACUACUUUAUCUACCGGAAGUAAAUAUGUUUGAGAUGUUUUAAUUUUAAUUGAAAAUCCAUAACAAAAGAAAUAACUCUGAUGGAAA